AUGAAAAAAGGCUUCCGCGAAAAAACUGGAGCGGGCAGACACUCGAUCCCGUCGAGACCAUCGAUUGUGGGGAGAGGCAGUUAGCCAGCUCUGUUUUGAAGCGUGAAAACUCACCUUUUGUGAACCGUACAUAUUUUCCACGUCGUAUUUUCAAAAGUCUAAAGUAAAAGUUGAUCUUAUUCAUUUCACGAAUAUGAAAAAA
This 202-nucleotide unclassified non-coding RNA is filed under the name soil metagenome. RNAcentral describes it as "partial internal transcribed spacer 1". The record is from RNAcentral.